Paramuricea clavata is the source of this 335-nucleotide non-coding RNA. NCBI's taxonomy places the organism in Eukaryota, Metazoa, Cnidaria, Anthozoa, Malacalcyonacea, Plexauridae. The record is from the annotation of a GenBank genome assembly.
GGGUCGUACUAAUUACCGACAACAACCGACAACUACCGUCAACAACCGACAAUUACCGACAACAAGCAGACAAUUACCGACAACAAGCUCAGAAUUACCGACAACAAGCUCAGAAUUACCGACAACAAGCUGAAAAAUACCGACAACAAGCAAAUACAUACUUUCAUUGUAUUCUUAUAGUUAUUUGUAUGGAUGCAUGGCUGUUUUUGAGGAAACCCAAAUACAUGUACAUACAUGAAUUUGAUGUAAAUAAUUUAUAGCUUGUUUCUGUUCGUACUGUAGUACUAAAUUAAAAAUACUAUUAAACAUUUUAGACACAUUAUACAGUAUACACA